This 256-nucleotide ribosomal RNA is filed under the name uncultured bacterium. RNAcentral describes it as "partial 16S ribosomal RNA". It matches the Rfam family "Bacterial small subunit ribosomal RNA", at positions 524 to 776 of the family's 1533-position model. The record is from RNAcentral.
GACGUAGGCGGCGAACGUUAUCCGGAAUUAUUGGGCGUAAAGGGUGCGUAGAUGGUCUGAUAAGUUAGCAGUGGUAAAUCGAGGCUCAACCUCGUGGAAACUGGUAAUACUGUCAGGCUUGAGUGCAGGAGAGGUUAACGGAACUCCCUGUGGAGCGGUAAAAUGUGUAGAUAUAGGGAAGAACAUCAAUAACGGCGAAGGCAGUUAACUAUUCUGCUACUGACAUUGAGGCACGAAAGCGUGGGGAGCAAAAAGG